RNAcentral lists this unclassified non-coding RNA (1817 nucleotides) under Hevea brasiliensis (rubber tree). Lineage: Eukaryota; Viridiplantae; Streptophyta; Magnoliopsida; Malpighiales; Euphorbiaceae. The record is from RNAcentral.
UUUUUUUUUUUUUUUAUCAUUUUUCUUUGCAUUACAUAAAGUAACAAAAAGCAAUCAGAUGUCAAAACUCGCGUCCUAUAUUCUUCUGCCUGUGUUUCUAAACUGUUCAUUUCAGAAGACUUGGAACAAGAAGCUAUAGCUCAGGUAAUCAACUGAGAUCCUUGUAUGGAUUUACCUCCAAUAACUAAGCUAAUAGGCUACCUCAACUGACAACUAAACAUCCGGACACUGUAGAACCAACAAUCCCGUCUAAUCUUUGCAGCAGUAGCUAUUCAUACAGCCAACACUAAAGCUAAAAUUCUCAUUACAAGCUUCUUUGCUAUUCAGAAACUCGGCAACUUUCAUGCACUACAUAAGAUCUUAUUUUAAAUGCAUCAACAACAUUAAAUUGACAUUCAGGAUAAUGCACCAAAUGAAUUAUGAAUAGAAACAGAGCAUUGAUGUUGGAUGCUUUAUUCGAUACAAGAAAAAGAACCAUGAGGAGCAGUUUGCCACUCCAACUGUAUUAUGGCUUUCUCUCAACUGUUUGCAUUGCUUCAUCAUACACAGGAUUAACAGCUAAUUUAGGUUGACCAGAGCAAUCUGUGGAUUCUUGAAUGGCACAUCGAGUUAAUAAUUUUGCUGCUCCAAGGGAAGAAUGGAACUGUUCAUGCCCUGCUGGCUUCAAGAACAUCAGCUCAUCAUCAUUCCUCUCAUAAAGCAAGCACUGCAUUUUCCUCCCCUGAACCUCAUCCUUCACUCUCUGCAGCAGCCUCGAAUCAAACUUUGGCAAUCCAAUUUGUUCAACAGUAAGCGAACCGAAGAAGUUACCCAGCAAGGCAGCAUCAGGGACAGCCAAUCCUUGAACCAAGCCCGUCACCAGACCACCUAAGAAGCUAUCCCCUGCACCCGUGGGAUCCUCUUGAUUAGCCAAAAAGGGCGAGAUUCCCAUCUCCCUAUCUUUCCAACACACCUUACAGCCAUCUUCCCCAUUCGUCACCACCACAUAACACCACUUCCUCACCUCCUCCACAUCCAUGAACAUGGCCUCCUCUGAUGACACUUUUAAAAACCCAAUUCGAGGCAAUAGGGAACAAAACCCUGUUUCUCGUAACUCAACAAGCUUAACAGUCCCAUCAACGGCAUCAAAAUCUCUUAUUAAAGAUUGAAUAUCCACGAGAACCACAUCACAAAUCUCAAUCAUUCUCUCAAGCGUCUCGGGCAAUAUCUCCCCGCCAACCCCAACCGCCAUUCCAAAAUCGAACUUCGCGUCAGGAAGAUCGAUCGGGCUAAUCCUAUCACUAGCGCAGACCCGUUUUAAUACCCGAUCUUGGUUUCCAUUGUCGUGUAUACCCGAAUCAAAAUAGGCAUGAAAUACAGUCGUCUUGGAAGCAGACACUAAAAUUGGGCUAUGAUUAACUUCGUAUCUAAAAUCGUGGCCAACUUUCGCAACUAAAAUACAAGGAAUUGACAUCCCAUUAAGGACGCUGGCUACAAACGAGGAGGCGCCGCCGAGAGAUUGGCCAACGACGAUGCCAUUUUGGAUCAAAACAUCGUGGCAGUAGUUGCCGACGAUUAAAACACGGGGAGUGGGAGUUUGAUGGGUUUUCUGGAUAGCGGUUACCAUUGUGGGUUGCGGUGGGUUUGGGGGUCAUGAGUGAAGAGGAAGAGCUAAGAGAAUGAGAGGGUUUGGUGGUGAUAGCAAGACAUAGCAGACAAAGCAGAGCACAUAUUUUCAGGAAAUGGACGGUGCGAAUUGUGUAGUCUCUGUUGGGGGAGAAAUGGACAAAAGUUAGGGUGAGCUUAUGUGUCGAGAGAGACAGAAGACGCGCGCUGAA